This 253-nucleotide ribosomal RNA is filed under the name uncultured bacterium. RNAcentral describes it as "partial 16S ribosomal RNA". It matches the Rfam family "Bacterial small subunit ribosomal RNA", at positions 524 to 776 of the family's 1533-position model. The record is from RNAcentral.
UACAGAGGUGGCAAGCGUUGUUCGGAAUUACUGGGCGUAAAGGGCGCGUAGGCGGCCUUCUAAGUCAGACGUGAAAUCCCCCGGCUUAACCUGGGAACUGCGUCUGAUACUGGGAGGCUAGAGUAUGGGAGAGGGAUGUAGAAUUCCAGGUGUAGCGGUGAAAUGCGUAGAUAUCUGGAGGAAUACCGGUGGCGAAGGCGGCCCCCUGGACCGGUACUGACGCUGAGGCGCGAAAGCGUGGGUAGCAAACGGG